UGGGGAAUAUUGCACAAUGGGCGCAAGCCUGAUGCAGCCAUGCCGCGUGUGUGAAGAAGGCCUUCGGGUUGUAAAGCACUUUCAGCGGGGAGGAAGGCGGUGAGGUUAAUAACCUCACCGAUUGACGUUACCCGCAGAAGAAGCACCGGCUAACUCCGUGCCAGCAGCCGCGGUAAUACGGAGGGUGCAAGCGUUAAUCGGAAUUACUGGGCGUAAAGCGCACGCAGGCGGUUUGUUAAGUCAGAUGUGAAAUCCUCGGGCUCAACCUGGGAACUGCAUCUGAUACUGGCAAGCUUGAGUCUCGUAGAGGGGGGUAGAAUUCCAGGUGUAGCGGUGAAAUGCGUAGAGAUCUGGAGGAAUACCGGUGGCGAAGGCGGCCCCCUGGACGAAGACUGACGCUCAGGUGCGAAAGCGUGGGGAGCAAACAGG
This 429-nucleotide ribosomal RNA is filed under the name Chloroflexota bacterium. RNAcentral's name for it is "Chloroflexi bacterium partial 16S ribosomal RNA". It matches the Rfam family "Bacterial small subunit ribosomal RNA", at positions 355 to 776 of the family's 1533-position model. The record is from RNAcentral. Lineage: Bacteria; Bacillati; Chloroflexota.